Molecule: ribosomal RNA, 673 nt
Filed under: Salmonella enterica subsp. enterica serovar Enteritidis
Lineage: Bacteria; Pseudomonadati; Pseudomonadota; Gammaproteobacteria; Enterobacterales; Enterobacteriaceae
Description: partial 23S ribosomal RNA
Rfam family: Bacterial large subunit ribosomal RNA
Source: RNAcentral
CCCUUUGGGUGUGACUGCGUACCUUUUGUAUAAUGGGUCAGCGACUUAUAUUCUGUAGCAAGGUUAACCGAAUAGGGGAGCCGGAGGGAAACCGAGUCUUAACCGGGCGUUAAGUUGCAGGGUAUAGACCCGAAACCCGGUGAUCUAGCCAUGGGCAGGUUGAAGGUUGGGUAACACUAACUGGAGGACCGAACCGACUAAUGUUGAAAAAUUAGCGGAUGACCUGUGGCUGGGGGUGAAAGGCCAAUCAAACCGGGAGAUAGCUGGUUCUCCCCGAAAGCUAUUUAGGUAGCGCCUCGUGAAUUCAUCUCCGGGGGUAGAGCACUGUUUCGGCUAGGGGGCCAUCCCGGCUUACCAACCCGAUGCAAACUGCGAAUACCGGAGAAUGUUAUCACGGGAGACACACGGCGGGUGCUAACGUCCGUCGUGAAGAGGGAAACAACCCAGACCGCCAGCUAAGGUCCCAAAGUCAUGGUUAAGUGGGAAACGAUGUGGGAAGGCCCAGACAGCCAGGAUGUUGGCUUAGAAGCAGCCAUCAUUUAAAGAAAGCGUAAUAGCUCACUGGUCGAGUCGGCCUGCGCGGAAGAUGUAACGGGGCUAAACCAUGCACCGAAGCUGCGGCAGCGACACUGUGUGUUGUUGGGUAGGGGAGCGUUCUGUAAGCCUGUGAAGG